UACGGAGGGGGCUAGCGUUGUUCGGAAUUACUGGGCGUAAAGCGCACGUAGGCGGCUUUGCAAGUCAGAGGUGAAAGCCCGGGGCUCAACCCCGGAAUUGCCUUUGAGACUGCAUCGCUAGAAUUGUGGAGAGGUAAGUGGAAUUCCGAGUGUAGAGGUGAAAUUCGUAGAUAUUCGGAAGAACACCGAGUGGCGAAGGCGACUUACUGGACACAUAUUGACGCUGAGGUGCGAAAGCGUGGGGAGCAAACAGG
RNAcentral lists this ribosomal RNA (254 nucleotides) under uncultured bacterium. RNAcentral's name for it is "partial 16S ribosomal RNA". It matches the Rfam family "Bacterial small subunit ribosomal RNA", at positions 524 to 776 of the family's 1533-position model. The record is from RNAcentral.